GCGGGUAGCGAAGACCAGCAGAAGGACGGAAGGAGAGAAGGAGGAGGAGCGGUAGGAAGAGGAGAGCGGUAAAGGAGGCGGCUUAGCGGCGGCGGGUUUAGGUGGCGUCGUUUGGGGAGAGGGGUCCACAAGCAGCGCGUUAGGUCUCGAGAGGCGUGCUUCUAAGGCGGCUCGUCCGGCGCCAGCGGGCCAAGAGGGCGACAUAACGACGCCGGUCGCCGGACUUAGAGCUCGGGCUCGUCGAGCGCCUCCGCCCCGAGGGCCGCGCCGCAGGGGAAACUCGCAGAGACGCUCAGCCGCCGGGCUUAGGCGACGACCUCCCUCGGGCCGCCGACGCCCUCGAGCGCGAAGUCCUAUUCUAGCCACGUCCCUAACCUCCCCCGAGCGACCAAUCCCGGGCCGGUACCGCGACAAGGCGUUCAAGAAGAAGUCCUUCGGCGGGCUGCCCCACGAGGAGUAGUGCCUGUUGUAGAUGCAAAAGCUAGUAACGAAGAGGAACUUACGUGGCCUCCUCCUGGUCAAGCUCCGUGUGUGGUCCCCGUAGCGUCGUGUAGAAGAUCUUCUAAAAGUACUAGUGAGCAAGUACCAGCGCUUAAAGCCCUGUGCCAGUCUUCUUUCGGCGAAUAUGGUGUAAAACAGGCUCAUACCGUACUGACAAAACCUGAUGGGCCCGGUGAUACUCCCCACAGGUGAAGAGUGGUAGCUUUACCACGUGACGUAGAACUUCAGGUUGCUUUCGACCGAGAGAGACCCGGUCGUAUUGAACGAGUAUUACGUGACGCUUGUUCCCACGACCGGAUAGGACCGAAAGUACGAUCGACGAGAGAACAACAUGGACCCCGUCAUAAGUCUACUCGUCUUUUGUGACCUAUACGAGAUGUUUGUUAGUAGAAGCCUCAAGAACCUCUACAAAAGUGGAGAUUUAGGGUACGGAAGAGUUUAAUCUAUGAACGCCAUAUAAAGCUACUCCUUACAGUACGGACUCACCGGAGGGCGACUAUCUCGGGAGUGUGACCUAACAGACUGAAACUCCUACGAAGGACUAAAGGUUUCAGUUCCACCAAAAACAGGCUAUAAGUCCUAUAUACCAGGUCUAGGUGAGUACGGAGUACUAGUCUGAGGGUUUCAAGAAAAAAGUUGGGGGUUUUGUUCAUUAGAACAGGCAAAAUUAAGUGUCCGUCUACUUGCCCACUUGUAUUUGGAAGUUACAGUACAGGUUCCACUACAACAGUAUCUCACAUCGUUGAACAUACUACUAGAUCUAGCGCUCCUCUACCAUAAGGCCUAGUACAAGUUGUGCCGAAAGUAGUCCAGUUUGUAGAACUACGAGUCGGCACUACUUUAUCUGUACGAUACCUUACGUUUUCUAGUUAAGGGAUUUCUAAAAGCUCGACUCCAAUAGAAAAGACUGUACCUACGUUGAUGAAGCGAACAAUGCUGUCUCGGAAACUCAGUAGUUCUAUUUGUUCCUGAACCACAACUUCUCAAACGAUUUCACGAUCUAUAGAAGUUGGUAAACCUGACCAACCUACCCCUAUACCUAUGACGUGACCUGUGUGGGGUCUUUUCCAAGGUCCAAUGAAGGGUUCCUUUAUAAUCACGUAGAGGAGGACUACUCGGACUUUGAAAAAAACUAUGAGUUCUUCUUGAACCGAAACUAUUAAAGAGACCACUUUAGUUGAGAAGACGAGCACACGACUUCGAAGUUUUAGUGAAACCAUACGAACCGUCGUGACUUGAAUUUGUUCCGGGGGGUGUAAGUUCAGGUUGCCUUCAAGGUAGGUUUGGUGUAUCUUAUCUAAACCUAGGAAGUGCUUGUCUCGGAGGAAGCCACAACAAACGUGGUAGUCUCCAAUGUUUCGGUUUCCGAUCACAAAGUAGUCAUCGUGGUAGAAGUCAAUGUCAAUGCGGGGUCGGACAUAAAAGUGGUCAAGUUGGCGUCGGUGACGGUAGACUAAGACGACACGUUUAAAGUAGUCUCCGUAGUCGCUGUUGUAGACAUCCCUUCGGACCAAGUGUUUGAGGUUAUGUCGUACUUGGAAGUGGAGAAUACCAUUGAUUUAGUCCUAGUAGUUGUAGAACCUAUGGCAGUACACGUGGAGGAGGCGAAGGAGGGGCUGGCCGGUGACAAAGUAAUCGGGGACAAAGGGGAUGGAAUGGGUAUUUAUGAUCAUGUUCAGACUAGUCACAAAGGGAAUUUAGUUGGUACGGGAGGGGAAGUAGAGGAGGUCUCGGUAGUCGGAAACGUGUUCGAAAACGUUGACUUGUUGACCAAUUUAGUGUUCUUAGAAGAAUGCUCUAAGAGUUCAGUGACGGACUAUCAAGAUGUCGAAGUCGAAGAAGUCAAACAUAUCAUUUCCUUAGAUCAUGGGGAUUUCGUAGAAGUGGCCACUGCAACGGACGUUAAGGAGACUGAAGUCUGAGUCCCGGGAAUCAUUGAGGUCAGUGUUCUAGUCUAGGAUUGGGUCGUAGCGGCGAGGGUGGUGGUGGUGGUGGAGGGGGAGGAGGAUAUUUUCGUCGGUGACACAUACUUGUCCUCUGUUCGUCCUUUCUUUUCCAACGUGGUGGAGUCGGAGGUGGGGGCGGUGGAGGUGGUCGUGACGGUGCUCGUGGAAAACUUUUACGAUGUGUUAGCAAAUGAUGCAUACUUUAAAGAAGGGGUGGUCAAGCUAGAAGUGGUGGUGGGGGCGGGGGCGGUGGUGGAGGGAGCAACCAUUCGUCUUUUCUUUGCCAAUGUGGUGGAGUCGGAGGAGGAGGCGGUGGAGGUGGUCGUGACGGUGCUCGUGGAAAACGUUUAAGAUGUGUCAGCAAAUGACGCAUACUUUAAAAAAGGGGCGGUUUCUUUCAAGCUAGAAGUGGUGGUGGUGGUGGCGGUGGUGGGGGGAGUAACCAUUUUAGUAGUAAAAGAGGAGGUGCACGUGGCGGCGGUGGUGGGGGUGGAGGAGGUGAUGGAUUAUUGGUAAAUCAAAGUAGUAGAGUAGACGUCAAACGACUGUUUUUCCAGUCAAGUCGUAGUUUUAUACGCCAAGGUAGUGGAAACUCGGGGUUGGAAAGUGUUUGUUAAGGUUCCGACGUUCGUGGUUGGUAGGGUGGUGGUGGAGGAGGAGGUGGAGCUUCAUCGAGCGACCAAAGAAGUAGAGGUAGGUGUUCACCAUCUGUAAAGUACCGACGGGGAGUAGGAGGGGGUGGAGGGGGUGCUAACGUAUGGUACCGUAGAGUACAUAGCCGCGGUGGACGUGGGGGCAAUAAGCUACGACGGGGAGUAGGAGGGGGUGGAGGGGGCGGUAACGUAUGGUACAGUAGAGCACCCAGUCGUGGUGGACAUGGGGGUAACGGAGGAGGCUUCAAUCGACCCCGGCCGUUACGAAGUGUUUUUGGUAGUCAUUGGGCUGGUGGCGGUGGAGGUGGUCCGGGUGGAGGAUUCUUAAGGAGUUUGAGAAACGGUUCGUUUCCUCGGCAACAGUCACGACGGGGAGGGGGCGGAGGAUGUAAUAGUAAACCACGUUUCCCGGCGUCGCGUCAGGCCAGUUUUUCGGGAUCUCCAAACGCACGGUUGGUCGGUAGGUUCUCCUGUGGAGACUUCGGUAAUGUGACCCAUUUUCACAGUUCUCGUUGUGUCCCUUCGAAUACCCGUCUAUGUGUCUUCCGACUACUUCGUAGAUCCUGAGGCCUCUAACUAGACAGACUCGAACUUUCAGAAAAGAGUCAUAGGUACGGUUCAUGCCUACGUUUUGCCUGUGCGGUUGCAGGAGGACAACGUAGUUUUGUUCUUUUUCAAGUGAACUAACUGGAGGUCGCAAGUUUCUUAACACUUUAAUACGACGCCUUGUAAUUCUACGGUAACGGACUAAACUACCGAAGUCACGAAUGGGAACUACUAAGGUAGCAGCUACCACUAGUUCAUCUAAUAGACUAUUUCAAGACGGGUUGAUUCCUUCUUUACCUUGACGAGUUUCCAAUAUGUCCGUCGAAUCUAUUAGAUCCUUUUACACUCGUCAAGAAGAACCUUUACUACUUUCACGGUUCCCACCUCAGUUUUGACUCUUAGAAUAGGAAAUUCUAUUUCAAAGAAUGUGUCCAACGUCUGCACUUUUUAUUGAACUUAUGGUAAUUACUACAACGACUUCUCCAAUCCUUGAGACUGUUCGAAUUCGCUCACUACGUUUGUUAAGAAAGGAACCCCUUACGUAAUUUGGUUCCUUGACGUUCCCCAAGUCGGCAACCUAAAUCUAAUCUAUCAGAAGAAUUCGAGUAACUAUAUGCCCGUGCUUUGUUAUUCUACUGAGAGUACGUGAUAAACACGUUCCAAGAACGUCCGUUCGAAGGACUUCAAGAACUAAAACAAUUCCUAGAACGCGUAAAUCUUGGGCGGUGUUUCUAGGUUAACUUUCUGAACCGCCUCCUUUACGUUCGCUAUUGAUUCCCUGACCUUUUCCAGCUCGUCCUUGACCGUUGUAGACUUUUUCUACCAGGUCACAGACUCUGCAAAAUGUUCUUUGACUUCCUUAAAGACCGACUACGGGUUCGACUUCCCUCCAGUAAUCGAAGCGAAAUGUCAUGUCGCCCCUUUUCACGCCUGAGAGAUCGUGUAAUAAAACCACUUCUAGGACACGCCACAGGCAAACUCGUUCAACAGAGAUGAGACGACUCGAAACACUUUUGAAAGCUCGCCCGCGUACGGCUCUUAGAGUUCGUCCGCCUCCGCCUCUUCUUCUUUCGGGUCUACCUUCGGCUCUCUCUCUUCCGCUUCCGUCGGCGGCGAGUGUUCUUCCGCCCCAGCGGCCUCGGCCCUCAAAGGUUGGCUACUGGGCAGCAGCUUCGAUCUGUACUGACUAAGGGUGAUUAAAGAAUGGUACUUUCACCUCCGGUCCUUCUGUUUCGAGGCACAUUUUUCCAGUUCUUUUCCUUUUUUUUUCAGUGUCCGUUAUCACGUAUGGUUACACCGUUACACUAUAACUAUCCAUCUGAGACAACUAUAUCGCUGCGCAAAUCGUGUAUCGGCACAUCACGUGACGACGAGUGACAGGUAUCCCUUCAUUUCGAGUAUGUCAAAACAUGACGACGAGUGACAGGUAUCCCUUUCUUCAACCAUCAUGUAUGUCUACAACAUAUAAAACCCCCCAAGAGGGGUACGGCUGUCUGUUUAAAACAUUUACCAAGGAAGGUAUGCACAUUUUGAUACAUGUAAAGGGUACACAGCGACAACAUGCUACACUACAUUGUAACAACCAUGAUUUGAUUCGUCAGUCUUUGUCAGGUAUAAAUGUACUAAUAAAGUACUACACUACUUGUAACAAUAAAUUUCAUUCG
RNAcentral lists this ribosomal RNA (5310 nucleotides) under Triticum aestivum (bread wheat). RNAcentral's name for it is "partial small subunit ribosomal RNA". The record is from RNAcentral. Lineage: Eukaryota; Viridiplantae; Streptophyta; Magnoliopsida; Poales; Poaceae.